Molecule: long non-coding RNA, 2421 nt
Filed under: Bemisia tabaci
Lineage: Eukaryota; Metazoa; Arthropoda; Insecta; Hemiptera; Aleyrodidae
Description: lncRNA ENSASIAIIG002575
Source: RNAcentral
AUGAAAAAGUGCUUAUCACACAACGUUUAUCACUGCAAAAUCUGCAAAUGUGUGUUUCACGGCAUCACAGAUUGCAGUUCAACUGAAUGCACUUUGAUAAAGCUCGACAACAUCCGGAUCAUGGAUUCACAAUCAAAUGAACAGGCAUCCGCAUCCCAACCUCACGCACCAUUAUCUCCAGAGAUAAUUACCGUCCUUGAAACCAAAGCCAAUACAGAUGUCGGAGGAUCAGAUCAGAAAUCACAGUCUGGAACCCCCGACAACAAUCUGGCAGAACCUCUAGGUACUUCGACGCCAAUUAAGGACUCCACCAACCAAAUGAGUUCUGACAUUGGCAAGACACCUGUUUCUGAAUUAAAUGACUACCAACUUGAACUUUCUCUUAAUGAGGAAAAAAGCGCUUAUAUAGAGAAAAAAGCACAAUUUGACUCGCUUAAUCUCUUGAUAAGUGAAAAACGUAAAUUUCAGAGUGAUCUGAUAUCUAAACUGACCAAUACCGAUAUGGAAUCAUCAGAAUAUAUCCAAAUGAACAAGGAUAUCAAAGAAAUAGAUAAUGAGAUCACUUUCCUUCACAAGGAAAGAGGAGAGACUAACACUAAGGUGAACAACAUCAGCAGUAUCAUCUCAACGUUAGAAUCAGAAUUAGAGAAUAGAAGAUACAUGCACAAACAAGGUAUUUCAGGUGAAAACGACCCGGAAAAAACCCUAACUCCAGCCAAAAUCACUACCCCCAUGGAUGGGGUAAUAGAGGAAUCAAUUAAAAGAAGACGUGCUGACCUAGAUCAACUUGAUACAUCGUUUAGCGACACGGAAUAUGAGAAGGAAAGCAGGGAAAAAAGGAACAAAUCUGAUAAGGAGCAUAAGAAAAUCAGCAUAAGGAGAACAAGGAACAAAGAACCAAUAACCAAGAAGAACGUUCCACCCUCCAGUCAGCCACAAAUCACCACCUUUUUGCAAACAGACAAAGAUCCACCCUCUGAACAAACCAAAGAUCCAUUACCGUUUACGCAACAGGAUAACUUGACCAAAAAGAAGUUCGAUAUCUUCGCAGCCACUGAUACGAAACAGAACAAAACAAAGAAGAAACCAGAUCCAACUAAGAAGUCCAAGCAUGAGGAAAACACUAAGGAUAACACAACACGAACUAAAACAAAGGACAACACAGACAAUAAUAAAGAGAACACCAAUCCACAACCGGACGAUCCUUUACCUCAAUUUAUGUCGAAAUUCAUGGAGAAAAACCCACUUCCGAAAGAAUUCUCCACGGACUCUAUGAUGUACCUUUUUAACUUUUUCCAGUCUUUUAUAUUGUUUGUAAACUCCAAUCAAAUCGAAUCAGAACUAACUAAGAAAUGUAAAGAUCUUGAAGAUAAAAACAGAAACCUUGUAAAUGACCUUAAAGAAAAAGAUAAAGAAAUAAAAGAAUUGAGAGGAAAAAUAGAUAAGUACAAUCAGGAGAAAAAUGAGAAACAGCCGAAUAAUCCUUGGUUCAACAAUAAAAGAGAAUUCCCCGCUUUAAACCAGUCACGAUUAAUCUCUAGAGAAAUGAUUAAUAAUACAAUCUCCAAUACUAUAACGUCUAAAAAUCCUAAUGAAGUCAUAUAUAAAUUCACUACCCCAGAAGGUAAACCUAUCACCACCGAUACCUAUGACAAAUUUUGUGAACAGGAACUUCAGAAUAUUGCCCUCCCAGAGGACACCAAAAUUACAUGGAACGUAGUAUCUAAGAACAGGAAAAAAAUCCUCCUGAAAUCUCAAACAAAGAACAAGGAAGCAUUGAACAAUGUUAUCAUCCCCAAAUUCAAAGAACUAGGACUCGUCCCUGAAAUAGUCAAUAGAUCUGAGGUCAUUAAACUUGGCCCUGUGCCCUCUAACAUGAGUGACACACAAAUUAUAAAUAGGAUUAAAGAGGUAAUUGAGACAAAUAUUAAAGAAGAAGAUAUUAAUAUUUUCAGGAAAACAAAUAUGAGAACAAUAGAUGGCAAAAUGGUAGUUUACAUGAGAGUUAGAUCCCCAAUCCUGGAAAAAUUAGUAGAACUUAAGGAAAUAUACUUGAACAACUAUGGUGGGAGAGCCACUAUAGAACCUAUCAUUAUGGUAUCUCCCUGUCUCAUUUGCCUAGAUGUUAUGCACUCAACAAAAAAUUGUAAACACAAUAGAGAAGAUCCUUUAUGUCUCAGAUGCGGACAGUCCAAUCAUAAAAUAAGUGACUGUAAAAAUGAUAAGAAAUGUAUAAAUUGCGUAAGGAAGAAAAUGAAAGAUACAGACCACCUCCCCACUAGUAAUAUAUGCCCAAUAUUUAGAGAGGCAUGGAACCUUGGCUUUAACAGAUGUGAAAGACAAGCUGGAGAACUUUAUUUUAAGAAUAUUUGCAAUAAAAUGAUGCCAGAUAUUGAGCUCAACUCAAAAUCUUCAAUAUGA